Molecule: ribosomal RNA, 486 nt
Filed under: uncultured bacterium
Lineage: Bacteria
Description: partial 16S ribosomal RNA
Rfam family: Bacterial small subunit ribosomal RNA
Source: RNAcentral
GACGAACGCUGGCGGCGUGCUUAACACAUGCAAGUCGAACGCUGAAGACCUGGCUAUUGUUGUGUUGGAUGAGUGGCGAACGGGUGAGUAACACGUGAGUAACCUGCCCUCUUGUUUGGGAUAAUGCCCGGAAACGGGUGCUAAUACUGGAUAUUCACUGAUCUUCGCAUGGGGGUUGGUGGAAAGGUGUGUUCUGGUGGGGUAUGGGCUCGCGGCCUAUCAGCGUGUUGGUGGGGUGAUGGGCUACCAAGGCUUUGACGGGUAGCAGGGCUGCGAGGGUGAGCGGUCGUGUUGGGACUGAGGUACGCCCCAGACUCGUGCGGGAGGCAGCAGUGGGGCAUAUUGCACAAUGGGCGAAAGCCUGAUGCAGCGACGCCGCGUGAGGGAUCGAGGCCUUCGGGUUGUAAACCUCUUUCGGUAAGUGUCAAGCCGCAAGUGUGGGUUGUGGUGAGGGUAGUGGGUAAAGAAGCGCCGGCUAACUACGUG